This 253-nucleotide ribosomal RNA is filed under the name uncultured prokaryote. RNAcentral describes it as "partial 16S ribosomal RNA". It matches the Rfam family "Bacterial small subunit ribosomal RNA", at positions 525 to 777 of the family's 1533-position model. The record is from RNAcentral.
ACGUAGGGACCAAGCGUUGUUCGGAUUUACUGGGCGUAAAGGGCGCGUAGGCGGCGCGGUAAGUCACUUGUGAAAUCUCUGAGCUUAACUCAGAACGGCCAAGUGAUACUGUAGUGCUAGAGUGUGGAAGGGGCAAUCGGAAUUCUUGGUGUAGCGGUGAAAUGCGUAGAUAUUGGGAGGAACACCGGUGGCGAAGGCGGCUACCUGGACCGGUUCUGACGCUGAUGCGCGAAAGCGUGGGUAGCAAACAGGA